Molecule: long non-coding RNA, 418 nt
Organism: Dermochelys coriacea (leatherback sea turtle)
Lineage: Eukaryota; Metazoa; Chordata; Testudines; Dermochelyidae
Exons: 3
Source: RefSeq, a predicted model, not a curated record
CUUGAAAUAAAGUUUUUGUACUGUUUAAAAAAAAAAUCCUCUCUCUCGUAGGAAUUAAUUCCAGGAAACCUGAAAUAAUUCCAGGUGAACAAAUUCCCAGACAUGGAAGCCCAGGAGUUAUCCAAAAAGAUUUGCAAGAUUUUUUGUUGUUCUCAGUACUUGCUGAACUACAUUUGAUCAGACUUUCCUAGAACUUUCACUCUUGGCCAAAGAUCCCAUCUGGAAAACGUCAGCCAGAAAGGAAAAAGGGUCUGAGUGAGAAAUUGACAUCUUGGCAAAGAAAUAGCUGGAAAUUCCCAUUUCCCAGACCUGCUGUCUCCUGAACCCCAACUGGAAAUGAUUCUCAAAGAGGAGGAAAAGAUAUAAAAAUGAAGAACAGAGGACACAAAUCACCUUUCUCCCCUCAUCUCUACUUGAA